AUAAUAACACUCUCGCCCUGAGAAUGUGACUCUGUACUUGAUUCCUGAUUUUAUUUAUUUAUCUUUUCAUCUUUAAGGCCAUACCCGUGGCAUGUGGAGGUUCCCAGACUAGGGGUUGAUUCGAGAUGUAGCCGCCAGCCUACACCACAGCCACAGGAAUGCAGGAUCCGAGCCGUGUCUGUGACCUACACCAUAGCUCAUGGCAACACCAGAUCCUUAACCCACUGAGCAAAGCCAGAGAUCGAACCCACAUCCUAAUGGAUCCUAGUUGGGUUCGUUAACCGCUAAGCCACGAUGGGAACUCUGAUUUCUGAUUUAAUUUUAUUUAACUUAUUUAUUUAUUUUUCGGUCUUCUUGUUUCUUUUUUAGGGCCACACCCACAGCACGUGGAGGUUCCCAGGCUAGGGGUCGAAUCGGAGCUGCAGCCACCGGCCUACACCACAGCCAUAGCAACUCGGGAUGUGAGCCGCGUCUUCGACCUACAUCACAGCUCAGGGCAACGCUGGAUCCUUAACCCACUGAGCGAGGCCAGGAAUCGAACCUGCAUCCUCAUGGAUGCUAGUCGGUUUCGCUAAUCACUGAGCCACGAAGCGAACUCUGAUUCCUGAUUUUAUUUAUUUAUUUAUUUAAUUUAUCUAUUUAAUUUAUUUUUAUUAAUUUAUUUUUGUCUUUUUGUCUUUUCUAGGGCCGCUUCCCGCAGCAUAUAGAGGUUCCCAGGCUAGGGGUCGAAUCGGAGCUGUAGCCGCCAGCCUACGCCACAGCUCACGGCAACGCUGGAUCCGUAACCCACUAAGCAAGGUCAGGGACUGAACCUGCAACCUCAUAGUUCCUAGUUGGAUUCGUUAACCACUGAGUCAUGACGGGAACUCCGAUUGCUGAUUUUAAAGAAAACUUUCCUGCUGCCUGAUAGUCACUGGAAACUUUGUUGUAAGUACUAACAGGCAACGCAGUCUUUGAGUUGUUUUAAAUUUUUAUCUUUGAACUGAGCCCGGUCAGCAUGAUAUUCCAUCACCCCUUGGCUUAGCCCCAGGAAGCUGCUGUGGAGCUGCGGAGGCCAUCACUUAACUUGUCAUCACACAGGAGGGACUUCUCGGGGUCUCAGGACCAGAAGUCCCAGUCUUUGGGGGCAAAUGGUCUGAUUUUCAUCUUCUAGGCAGUGUAACUGGCUCCUGCUCCCUGAUCGCGGGCAGGGGCCUGGGACUCGUGGUCUGCGCGUCGUCCACUAACCUCAGCCUUGGUUACAGAGACUUCCUAGCUCUCCGUCCCAAAUGCCUCUCCCUGUGUGUCUGCAAACUACCUCCGGCUAUUCUGGAAUGAGACUUCUCCCGCAUCUUCUCUCUCCUCCCCUCCCGGCGUGCUGUCCUUACUCCAAGCCCCAGAAUGUUCUUUAGUCUGGAAAGAAGGCUAACAUGGGAGAUGACCCAAGUUUGUAAUUUCCAGUCAAAGGGCCGCGCGCUCCUGAGGUACUUUCUCAAGUUUCCUGGGAGUAAGUUCAGGUCACAGAGAAACGGGUUUCACGGCCUAGGAAGCUGAUGAAACGGGGGGCCGGGCUGAAGUGCGCAGCUGCUCUCCCGCAGGGUCCCUGGUGAGUUUCCGAGGGCCUGCACAUCCCGCACCGGCACAGGGGACCACGGGCACAGCCAAAGUCUCCCUCAGUGGAGCGCCCGCCACAAGCAGGCCAGCAAUUCAAGAGAGCUGGGAAUCCAGCCACGACGGAGGGCUGCUGGCUCGUCCCACACUGCUUCCCCCGUGACACCUCCCCUCCGCCCCGUGACACCUCCAGCUCAUUACUUCUGCCACUUAACGCUCACUAACGACAAGCUCUCACUUGCAAUCAGACCGCAGGCAUGAGGGCCAAAGACAGCCUCCAGCUGUGCCACGCCUGGCCCGUGCCGUCUAGACACCAGCGCGGGCCUGUCAGCAUCCAAAUGACAGCAUGUGCCCCAGCCCCCGAGUGUCAAAGCCGGCUCCCGCCUGCCGCACAUGCUGAGUGAAGGCCGAUUUUAUGUUAAUGUGACUCCAACAUAAAACGCCAGAAACUUCCCCCAGCACCUCGCUGCCUUCAUCACACAGGUGAGGUCAGGACUCCCGGCUCCCCAGGAAUCCUGGAAGGAACCCUCGAGUCACCUCAUGACUGGGGCCCCUCGGGGGACCGGGGGUCACUCCCAAGCUCCCAUCUUCCCAAGCCUCCCCUCCCCCACUGCCCGGCCCCUCCUAUAGGCCAGCUCCUUCAGGCAAGGCCUGGCACAGCCCAGGGCACCCACCUUCUGCCCCUGGGGAGACCCUCACGGCUUAUCAGUGCCCCUCAAAUCAGCCAUGAUUUAUGAGAACUCAUCACGUGGGCCCGGUUCUGGUGGACCCUCCAGGGACCCCUGCUGCCUCCCCAUCAGCCUCCCCAUUUGACCUGGCCUCCACCUUCAGUGCCCCCCGAGGUUUAGCGCUGCCCAGGAAGAAGGGAUUUAGUGCCCUGCUGCCACCUUGUCUCUAAGAGUCUGCAUUUCAAAACCAAGCCAAGGAACACGUGAGCUUAAUCCACACAGGGCGGUGGUCAGGUUGUGGGGUGGUGGGCAGCACCUCUGUCUGGGGGCCCUGACCGACGACGGCACAACUCAAGUGUCUCUGUGGCGACCAGCACCAGUGAUGGGGCUCUCUGCCGUCCAGUGCUGUGCCACCUCUGGCCUGGCAGUGCCCCCCGGCAGGCAGCGCCCUGUACCGAAGCGCCCUGGGCACCACCUGCCCGGAGGAGUGCCAGGCAGAGAGGGGGCGGGGCUGCCCUCGCCUUCAGAGCAGCCCUGGCAGGGAGCCAGUUCCCUUCUCCUUCUGCGGAGGGGAGAGAAGCUGGCACACACUCUCAGGCCCCAGGGCACCAGCCUGCCCCUCCUCCUGGUUCUCCGAAAGCCCACUUCGAACUGCCCCUAGGAAGGGCCUUCCUGGUGUUUCCCUGAGGCCUGAAUCACGCCAGGGCACUUUCUGCUGGACUGCCAGCCCUGCCAGCAGGGCCUGAGUCCCUCAUACCUCCAGGUGACAGCUCCCGAUCUGUUGCCAGAUGACUCCCCCCAGUGAGGCGACCAGAGUGACGGGGGCGGGGGGCUGGACAGGCCGAGCUCAGCCCAGAUGGCAUGUCUCGGACCCAGCUCCACCCUCACGCAGAUGAAUGGGGCUCUGGGCCAGGUGGCCGUUCCACACGGUGCCUCAGCGCUUCCUUCUGCACCAGGGGCCCCGACGGGGGACUAGCCAGGCUGUCUCCUCUCACGCUGCCUGCCGGGAGUUGGCGCGCUCACUACGGGCCUGAGAGCCAGCACCUCUGAGCCGGAGGCCUGCCUGGUGGCAGGGCAAGGCCAGCUCCACCAGAGGCCCUGCCACAGGACGCCACCCCUCCUGCCUGGAACGAACCCCUGUCCGGGUCCCAGAAAGCUUUCGGAUGUUCGCCAUAGCAGGUUUGGGGGUAGGUUUCCAGAGCCCAAGUUGUGCCAGGAUCAGCGGUUUCCUCCCAGCUGUGUGCUGGGGUGUGUGUGUGUGUGUGUGUGUGUGUGCGCUCGCGCACAGGUGAGGGGCGAGAAGGCGUGUGUCUGGGUGUCCGUGGGGAGGACAUGGAACAAGCCAGAGGAGGCUCACUUGUCCCUGGCUCCGACUGGCUUCAAGAGGCAGGACCCAGGGACAGUGGAAAGUAAGGGGACCCUGAGCAAGAGGGGGGGCCAGUGUGGAGGUGGCUGCCAGCAGGGCCUGGGCAGAGGUUCCAAUUGGGGUAGGGGAUGAGAAGAGGCCCUGCCACAGGUCCAGCUCGGGGCAGAAGGGCCAAGAGGGGGCCCAGGGGUAGGACCAGAGGCUGAGAGCCAGUGACUCUCAGUGGAACCCCGAGGCUCCUGCUCCAGGGCUGGCGGGGGUGGGGUGGGGGGAGGGCAGCAGCGCCUACCUGUACCACGGCGGGUGGGUGCUGAAGGCCUGGAGUCAUAGGUGGCAGGGUCCUGCAGCGGGGGAGUCAUCCAGUGCCCCCUCGGUGCCCGGGCCCAGAGCCUACCGUGCCUGCAGCACCAAGGGCCAUUCUGGGGGGGAUCUGAAAGGAGAGGGCAGUGGGAGGGACUGGCCAGACCCCGAGCCCCAGAGCCAGACUCACAAGGGCCUGCUGUGUGGACCAGCUCCAUGACAAGGUCUGAGGAAGGCAGGAGGCACGUAGGAAGGGAGCAGGGGGCGGGCUGGGCCAGCCUGGCUGGGUGGCACAAGGAAGGGCAGCGUGACUGCAGGAAGCAGUCAGAGACCAAGGCCUACAGGUCAGGCCUGGAAGGAUGCGAGUCAAGGAGCUGGCAGAGCCCAGGCCCUGGCAGAGGCAGCACCUUUGGGGGGUCCUGUCAAGAGUGGAGGAGAGAGCCGGGCACUGGGGUGGGGAGGGCAUGACCGGCAGCCAGGAUGGGACCUGGAUGACUUCUGGAGCUCAAGGAUGUCCCAAGGGACAGCUAGGGGUGGGUGGCAGUAGAGCCAACCCGCUCUGUAGUCUGCCCAGCUGACAGUGGGCCCUCCCUGUGUGCCCAGCCUUCGUGGUCACCCCCUGCCAGGGCAGGAAGGCGGUGGGCUAGGGUCAGAACCCAACUUGUGAGCAGACAGCAGGUUGGGGGACGAGGAGGGGGCAGUGUGGUAGCUUGGGAGCAGUGUGGGGGCUUGGGAGCAGUUCAGGG
Molecule: long non-coding RNA, 4670 nt
Filed under: Sus scrofa (pig)
Lineage: Eukaryota; Metazoa; Chordata; Mammalia; Artiodactyla; Suidae
Description: lncRNA (ENSSSCG00015015889.1)
Source: RNAcentral